RNAcentral lists this ribosomal RNA (287 nucleotides) under Salmonella enterica. Its description in RNAcentral is "partial 23S ribosomal RNA". It matches the Rfam family "Bacterial large subunit ribosomal RNA", at positions 57 to 380 of the family's 2925-position model. The record is from RNAcentral. Lineage: Bacteria; Pseudomonadati; Pseudomonadota; Gammaproteobacteria; Enterobacterales; Enterobacteriaceae.
CGUGCUAAUCUGCGAUAAGCGCCGGUAAGGUGAUAUGAACCGUUAUAACCGGCGAUACCCGAAUGGGGAAACCCAGUGUGACUCGUCACACUAUCAUUAACUGAAUCCAUAGGUUAAUGAGGCGAACCGGGGGAACUGAAACAUCUAAGUACCCCGAGGAAAAGAAAUCAACCGAGAUUCCCCCAGUAGCGGCGAGCGAACGGGGAGGAGCCCAGAGCCUGAAUCAGCAUGUGUGUUAGUGGAAGCGUCUGGAAAGGCGCGCGAUACAGGGUGACAGCCCCGUACAC